AUACGGAGGAUGCAAGCGUUAUCCGGAUUUAUUGGGUUUAAAGGGUGCGUAGGCGGUUUGCUAAGCGGGAGGUGAAAUGCCGGCGCUCAACGUCGGAAGUGCCUCCCGAACUGGUGGACUUGAAUGACUCUGCCGUGGGAGGAAUGUGUAGUGUAGCGGUGAAAUGCUUAGAGAUUACACAGAACACCGAUUGCGAAGGCAUCUCACGAAGGGUUGAUUGACGCUGAGGCACGAAAGCGAGGGGAUCAAACAGGAUUAGAUACCCUGGUAGUCCACGCAGUAAACGAUGAUGGCUAACCGCUGGGCUUAUCAGUUCAGUGGCCGAGCGAAAGCGAUAAGCCAUCCACCUGGGGAGUACGACCGCAAGGUUGAAACUCAAAGGAAUUGACGGGG
This 393-nucleotide ribosomal RNA is filed under the name uncultured bacterium. RNAcentral describes it as "partial 16S ribosomal RNA". It matches the Rfam family "Bacterial small subunit ribosomal RNA", at positions 523 to 918 of the family's 1533-position model. The record is from RNAcentral.